CCGCAAGGCUAAAACUCAAAGAAAUUGACGGCGGGCCCGCACAAGCGGCGGAGCAUGUGGAUUAAUUCGAUGCAACGCGAAGAACCUUACCUGGGUUUGACAUGCACAGGACGUGCCUAGAGAUAGGUAUUCCCUUGUGGUCUGUGUGCAGGUGGUGCAUGGCUGUCGUCAGCUCGUGUCGUGAGAUGUUGGGUUAAGUCCCGCAACGAGCGCAACCCUCGUCCUAUGUUGCCAGCGGGUUAUGCCGGGGACUCGUAGGAGACUGCCGGGGUCAACUCGGAGGAAGGUGGGGAUGACGUCAAGUCAUCAUGCCCCUUAUGUCCAGGGCUUCACACAUGCUACAAUGGCCGGUACAAAGGGCUGCGAUGCCGUGAGGUGGAGCGAAUCCUUUUAAAGCCGGUCUCAGUUCGGAUCGGGGUCUGCAACUCGACCCCGUGAAGUCGGAGUCGCUAGUAAUCGCAGAUCAGCAACGCUGC
RNAcentral lists this ribosomal RNA (476 nucleotides) under Mycobacterium sp. wged103. Its description in RNAcentral is "bacterial SSU rRNA". It matches the Rfam family "Bacterial small subunit ribosomal RNA", at positions 886 to 1360 of the family's 1533-position model. The record is from RNAcentral. Lineage: Bacteria; Bacillati; Actinomycetota; Actinomycetes; Mycobacteriales; Mycobacteriaceae.